This 148-nucleotide non-coding RNA is filed under the name Chlorocebus sabaeus (green monkey). The record is from Rfam by way of RNAcentral. Lineage: Eukaryota; Metazoa; Chordata; Mammalia; Primates; Cercopithecidae.
GCCAGGCGUGGUGGCGCAUGCCUGUAAUCCCAGCUACUUGGGAGGCUAAGGCAGGAGAAUUGCUUGAACACAGGAGGCAGAGGUUGCAGUGAGCUGAGAUCAAGCCACUGAACUCCAGCCUGGGCCACAGAGCAAGACUCUGUCUCAA